Molecule: non-coding RNA, 189 nt
Organism: Phascolarctos cinereus (koala)
Lineage: Eukaryota; Metazoa; Chordata; Mammalia; Diprotodontia; Phascolarctidae
Source: RefSeq, a predicted model, not a curated record
GGUUGGGAUGAAAGUGAGAGAAUGUCUUCUGCAAGAACAAUGGAUGGAGGGGCUGGUUCCUGUUAUGGGCCUGCAAGGUUGAAACCUCAAAGAUGGACCCUCACUCAAAAAACCAAGAAGAUGUGAUGCUGGGAUGCUGAUGGUGUGAGACAACUUUCAGGCAAGAAAAUAGCCACAAAGCACAAAAAA